RNA transcript from Chelonia mydas (Green sea turtle), 8547 nucleotides. It is a transcript of the gene named protein phosphatase 3 catalytic subunit beta, with no coding region annotated. The transcript has 14 exons. The record is from RefSeq and is a predicted model, not a curated record. Lineage: Eukaryota; Metazoa; Chordata; Testudines; Cheloniidae.
UUAGCCUCCAGUUGUGGGGUGGCGCGCGGUGCAUGUCGGUCCCGAGGCGGACUGUCCCCUCGCUGUGAGGUGCUCGGAGUCUCGCCUGACGCCAUGUUCCUUUGGGCCGCUGCCGCCCGGGGUCUCUAGCUGCCGCCGCCCCCGCGUGUCCCCGGAGCCUAUAGAGCCGCAGUCGCCGGCCGGGACCGGAGCCCGGCCGCGCCCCGCCAUGUCCGCCAAGGAGGGGAGCAAGGGGCCACCGCCGCCUCACGGCACCAGCGAGCGGGCCGUUAAGGGUGAGCCCCGCCAGCGACCGGCCCUCUGCGGGGUGAACGACGCGGCGGCGGGGCGGGGUGUCCCUUUUCCACCAACACAUCGCUUGUCAUCUGAAGAAGUGUUUGAUAUAGAUGGAAAACCUAGGGUUGACAUUUUGAAGAACCACUUAGUAAAAGAAGGUCGGGUAGAUGAAGAAAUUGCACUUAGAAUCAUCAAUGAGGGUGCUGCAAUUCUACGAAGAGAGAAAACUAUAAUAGAAGUUGAAGCUCCAAUUACAGUGUGUGGUGAUAUUCACGGCCAGUUCUUUGAUCUAAUGAAGCUGUUUGAAGUUGGAGGAUCACCUGCUAAUACAAGAUACCUCUUCCUUGGUGACUAUGUAGACAGAGGUUAUUUUAGUAUAGAGUGUGUGCUGUAUUUAUGGGUCUUGAAGAUUCUGUAUCCAAAUACAUUAUUUCUUUUGAGAGGCAACCAUGAAUGCAGACACCUCACAGAAUAUUUUACCUUUAAGCAAGAAUGUAAAAUAAAGUAUUCAGAAAGAGUCUAUGAUGCUUGUAUGGAAGCUUUUGAUUGCCUCCCUCUUGCUGCACUUUUAAACCAACAGUUUCUUUGUGUUCAUGGUGGACUUUCACCAGAAAUAAACACACUAGAUGACAUUAAGAGACUAGAUAGAUUCAAAGAGCCUCCUGCAUUUGGACCGAUGUGUGACUUAUUGUGGUCAGAUCCCUCAGAAGAUUUUGGAAAUGAAAAAUCACAGGAACACUUCAGUCAUAAUACAGUCAGGGGAUGCUCCUAUUUUUAUAGCUAUCCAGCAGUUUGUGAAUUUUUGCAAAAUAAUAAUUUGUUGUCGAUAAUUAGAGCUCAUGAAGCACAAGAUGCAGGCUAUAGAAUGUACAGAAAAAGCCAGACUACAGGGUUCCCAUCAUUAAUAACAAUUUUUUCGGCACCUAAUUACUUGGAUGUCUACAAUAAUAAAGCUGCUGUGUUAAAAUAUGAAAAUAAUGUGAUGAAUAUUCGACAGUUCAAUUGUUCUCCACAUCCUUAUUGGUUACCAAAUUUUAUGGAUGUCUUUACGUGGUCAUUGCCAUUUGUUGGAGAAAAAGUAACAGAAAUGUUGGUGAAUGUUCUGAGCAUUUGCUCUGAUGAUGAAUUAAUGACUGAGGGAGAAGAUCAAUUUGACGUAGGUACAGCUGCAGCACGAAAAGAAAUAAUCAGAAACAAAAUACGUGCAAUUGGCAAGAUGGCAAGAGUCUUCUCUGUUCUGAGGGAGGAGAGUGAAAGUGUGCUGACACUCAAGGGUUUGACUCCCACUGGAAUGUUACCUAGUGGAGUGUUGGCCGGAGGACGUCAGACGCUACAAAGUGAUGCAGUUUAAUUGGAAAUAGUGAUGAACAAUCUGAACACAGAAGACCAAGUGACAAACAAAGUGCCUUUUAAUCAGUGGAUCUCAAAGCCCUUUACAAAGAUGCUAAGUAUCAUCCCUGUUUCACAUAAAGGUAAGUGACUUGCCCAGUGUCACCCAGCAGGCUUGUGGCAGAGCCAGUAAUUAAACCCAGGUUUCCGUGCUCUAUCCAGUAGUCCUCACCACUGUAAUGUAAGCUCUCAUCUCCUUUAGCUUACUUGUUGUCUGUCCCGUUUCUGUGCUAAGAGCAGGGAGCAGAGAUGGCUGUCACUUUUAUGUUCCCUGUACUUGGCUGUAUAGGGACCUACCUGGACCGUAGUGUAAGUUAGAGCAGUCUCAGGGCUGCUCUACCUUACACUUUGCUGUUCAGAGUCUAGUUACGGGCCUGGGAAAUUAAAAAUAGCUGUAGUGUAGUACGCUCAGGCCACACGCCCAAUCCUUCUACACUGGAGGGGGUUAAUGCAGGGUCCUCAUGCCACUUUUACACUGGCUGGGGACGGGUUGUAUUCUCAGAGGCUAUUGCUGCCCAUUACUGUACUGUAAGAGGGCUUUAGUGUAACUGACAGUAAGGCCCCAAAUGUUUAGCAUGUGUUAUGGAAAUGGGCCAUCUUCUACCACUCUAUGGCAGACUUCUAAGCAGUUGUUUUUUCAGAUCUGUGAAAAGACUUGCUGUCACUGAGUGACCUGAACGGGGAACUGAAUGCUCAUUUAUGCUACACUGUAAAUUCUAGUGGUGUGUGUAUGUAACCAGUGGUGAGCUGGAGCCGGUUUUCACCUUUUCGCUGGAACCAGUUAAAUUCAGAAGCCCUUUUAGAACCGGUUGUCCCAUUUCCUAGGAGGCGGCCUAAGAGUUCAGGACUCUGGUGGAGGAAGGUACCAUGGUGGCCCAGUGCUCCCUCCAGAUAGCCUGGAUUGUAGCCGACUCAGUUGCAUGGGUUGUGGGCAGUGGUCAUGAGGCGCAGUUCCUGGCUCCAGACCACUGGCCUGUCCCAGGAGAUGCAGGCCUCAAUUCAGGACCUCGUAUUUGAUGGUGUCAGGCUAGUCUCCAACUAGAUGGAUGCGAGGCUGCAUGGCCUGAAGGACACUCAGGCUACCUUCCACUCACUGGGGAUGCAUACUCCUCAGGCUACAAGGCAGCUAUUCUGGCCUCCUCCACCGCCAAGGCAGUGGCGGUCUCGGCAGGGCCAGCAAGGAGAAAGGACACAGGCUUUAGCGACCACCGCCUUUCAUCCUCCCACUCUCCUGCACAACCUGGCCCAGUGUAAUUGAGCUACACCCUCCAGUUUAUGGCCCCCCCUCCGCCCCUUCCUCUUCUAUGUCUCUCUUCAGAGACCCUUCUCAUGAGCAAUUCCUCAUUCAGGACGUAAACAACAUACUGGGGGCAGUGGAGGAGGUCCCUCAGGAAAUGAGGGGGUAUGGUUUCUACUCCCACUAUUUCCUGAGCCAGAUGGAAAAAGGGGGCCUACAUCCCAUGACUCAACAAGUGCCUCAAAAGGUUGAAAUUUCGCAUGGUGUCCCUGGCCUUCAUUAUUCCACUCCCUAGAUCUGGGCCACUGUCCCUCUCAAUUUGAAAGACAGUUAUUUCCAUAUCUCUAUCUUCCCGGGACACAGACGGUUCCUUGGUUUCAUGGUGGGCCAGCACCAUUUCCAGUUUACAGUGCUACCCUUUGGCCUCUCCUUGGUCCCACGGGUCUUUACAAAAUGCAUGGCCCCCAUAGCCAGUUACCUGAGAUGAUGGGGGGUCCCUUAUCUUGACAAUUGGCUCAUCGGGGCAGAUCGUGAGAUCAAGUGCAGCACAGCCUCAAUCUGGUGCAAGCCACAUGCCACAACCUGGGCCUGUUAGUAAAUGUAAGUCAACCCUUGUACCAGUACAAUGAAUAGAAUUAAUCGUGGCGGUUCUUGACUCCACAUGGGCAAGGACAUUCCUCCCAGAGUCCUGCUUCCAAGGCAAUAAUAUCCCGUGUGAGGGAUCAUCCACUCACUACUGCCCAUACCUGUCUAUGGUUAUUAGGUCAUAUGGCUUCCUGCACUUACAUGGUUUGACAUGCCCGGCUCCAUCUUUGUCCAUUGCAGGCAUGGUUAGUGUCAGUCUACGUCUCCAACAGACACGACCUAGACUUGGCAGUCAAAGUGCUGGACCACGUUCAGGCAUCUCUGGCGUGGUGGCUGGCCCCUGUGUCGGUCCCGCAGGGAGUUCCCUUAGCAGCCCCAUCCCUGUCACUGACUCUAGUGUCUGAUGCUUCAGACCUCGGAUGGGGAGCUCACCUGGGGAAGCUCAGUACUCAAGGCUGCUGGUCGGGGGUCAACCGCUCCCUCCACAUAAACGUCAGGGAGCUCAGGGUGGUUCGCCUGGUCUGCCAAGCUUUUCGGUCCCACUUGCAGGGCAAGGUGGUUCAAGUUGUAAUGGACAACACUGCCAUGAUAUUUUAUAUCAACAAGCAAGGCGGAGCCAGGUCCUCAGUCUCUGGGACUUCUGUGUUCAGCAUGCCAUUCAUCUUGUGGUAGCACACCUUCCUGGAGCCAGGAAUGUCCUGGCAGAUCACCUCAGCAGAACCUUCUUGUCUCGCCACAAGUGGUCUCUUCACCCUGAGGUGGUGGACAGGAUCUUCCAGAGGAGGGGAUCUCCCCAGGUGAAUCUGUUUGCGACUAACCAGAACAGGAAGUGCCACUGUUUCUGCUCAUUCUGGGGGACCGACGGGUUUCCUGUCAGACGCCUUUUUGCUUCCAUGGUCGGGAGCUCUGAUGUACGCUUUCCUGCCAGUCCCGUUGCUCCAAAAGGUCCUCAUGAAGGUCAAGCGAAACAGGGCCAAACUCAUACUCAUUGCCCCGGCUUGGCCAUGCCAACACUGUUUUCAGCACACUCCUGGACCUGGUAGUGUUGGCCCCGAUGCUGCUGCCCCACUGGCCAGAUUUCCUGUCGCAGAAUCAGGGCCAGCUUUUGCACCUGAACCUACAGGUGCUGCACCUGACAGCUUGGUUGCUCCAUGGCUGAAUAUUGAGCAGGAGUGUUCAGCCUGAGUCCAACAGGUCCUGCUAGGAAGCAGGAAGCCUUCCACUAGGGUCACCUAGCUGGCCAAAUUUAUGUGCUCGCUUUGACCCAACGGGUUAGGCCUGUGGCAGCUGAUCCUAGACAACCUCAUGCAUGUUAAACUUCAGGGACUGUCCCUUUCAUCUAUUAAGGUCCAGUUGGCUGCUAUCUCGGCUUUUCACCCUCCGUUCCAGGGCAGGUAAGUCUUUGUGCAUGGCAUGACGAUCCAGUUUCUGAAGGGUCUGGAGCGACUCUACCCUCAAGUCUGGGAUCCUGUCCCUCCAUGGGACCUUAACCUGGUGCUCACACGGCUCAUGCAACCCCCCUUUGAGCUCUUAGCAGCCUGUUCUGUUCUUCUUCUGCUUUCCUGGAAGGUGUCGUUCUUGGUGGCAGUAACUCCUGCAAGGAGGGUUUCCAAGAUUAGGGCACUCACCUCGGAACCACCAUGUUCUUGAAGGACAAGGUCCAGCUGCGGCCACACCUGGCUUUCCUGCCCAAGGUAGUUCCCCAAUUUUACAUGAGCCAGGACAUAUUUUUCCAGUCUUCUGCCCAAAACCUCAUGAGGAGGACAUAGGUUGCACUCCCUUGGUGUCAGGGGGGCGCUAGCCUUCUACAUCGAGAGGACCAAGCCAUUUCGCAAGUUGAAUCAGUUAUUUGUUGUGGUGGCAGGUUGUCUGCUGUCCGCCCAGAGAAUUUCAUCUUGGAUCGCCUCCUGCAUCCGUUUCUGCUAUGACCAGGCAAAGGUUCCUGCACCGGUGUUUGUCACCACUCACUCAACUAGAGCGCAAUCCUCAUUGGUGGCCUUCCUGGCCCAAGUGCCCAGUCCGGAUAUCUGUAAAGCUACUACCUGGUCAUACAUUCACAUUUCACUAAGUGCUUAUUCAACGAGCUUGAGAUGAUGCUGGCUUCAGUAGAGCAGCUGAGAUUGGGGUCCAAAGCUCCCUGGACUUCUUGCCCCAGCUUGGGGGGGUUGCUUUCUUGUCAAUUUUGUGUUUUCUGCAGUGAAAUUGACAAGACAGCCACUGUAAGGAACAGUGUCUACACAAACAUUGCCCUGCCCCCAACUACACUGACACAAGCCUUACGUCUCUUGUGGUGGUGCAGUUAGGCACUUACGUCGGUGGGAGGAUGGCUGUAGUGUAGACCAGCCCUAGGUUUCCCGGAAAGUUUUUCCCCUAGUUGGUGUCUGCACAUUUUUAAGGGGAACUGUCAAGUUAAAUCACUUAACGUUUUUCCAUGUUACUAAGAACUUCAGAUUUCUUCCUACCAUUUAUGCUAAUGCUUCUACUUUGAGCAUUCCAUGUGUCUGUCUAUACAAAAGGAAGUAUAGUUUGCCUUUUAGCACACAGCUUUGGGUUUGAACAUUUCCAUGCAGUGUUUUACAUUUGUUUAAGACGACCCAAUAAUGGCUUUUUUUUAAAAUAGCCUGUCCAGUCAUUCAUCUGAGUAAACAGGAUCUUUCCAAAUCUAAUCAGUAAGUCCCUUUAUCUAUUUUUCAUUUGGCACCAUAAAAUUAGAGUGCACUUGUCAUUCCAGGCCAAACAAUAUCAAGUCAUGACUCAUUCAGGCAGGCCAGCAAUAUUAGCCCAUUUCUGAUGAGACUUCCACUCUACAAUAUUUGCCAUGCACACACUUAAACCAUUAAUACUUGGACUCAGUCAUGUCAUAUUUUUUACCAUUAUUGUGGAAACUGAUUCUGUAACAAAUAACCUGAAGUAGCCCACCUCUCCUAGCCUUAUUUUAAUUUGUAGAGGCUUCAUCUGUUGGUUUUAGGUGGGGUUAUUGUGCUUUGUCACCCUAAAAUGUCAAGGUGGUGGUAAGAUCAGCUAUGUUGCUCUUUUGAAUAAUUGGCUAAGCAAUUUAGUAUUGAAGAUUCUGUUGCUAUAAGUGUCCUAGGACUGUUUUAGUGAAAGGGUCUAAUCCCUACCAACCUUUCAAGAAGUGGAACUACUCGGGGCUGCAGAAUCUUUGGAGAUAAAUGACUUGUACUAUAAUGGCUGUUUGAAGGAAGUAAUUUAAUGUGGCAUCUCAGCUGUAUUUUCUGUGGGUCAAAAUGACACUGAUACUUCAGGUAAAUGACAGAUACAUCUUAUUUUUAUAUAGUAAAGUAUAAAUGUGCUCUAAAUUAAGACAAAAUACAAACUCUUAAAUCAUUCAUAAUUAGGAAGGCAGAUUUGGUUAUGCAAUAUUGAAAAUCGUUUUAUGUUACAUGCCCUUCACUUUGUUAAAAUGUAAAUCUUUUCUAUUGACCAACAAUUGCCACCAGCAACUUCCUGUAGUCACCACUUGUGUCACUUGAUAUCAUUGUAGCCAAAGUCUUCUGGUACAUCUGCAUGAAGAGCUGUUUGAUCUGUACAAGAUCAGUCUGUGUCAAAAGAAAAAGAUAAGCAUAAAACACUCAACAAGCAAUCAGUGUACAAUAUGGGAUAAUUCGGUAGUAGAGUAAGAGUCUACUUGCAGUGAACCCAGACAAAACAUCAAUUCAUUCCUUGUACCCUACAGCAGCCCAGACAAUGCAGGCAAAAAGGAAAGAGAUGCUCUCUCUGCAUGACACCCUCUCAGGAUCUCUCAGAGCUCUAAGAGGUUCUGAAGCUAGACGACACUUCUGUAAAUGGUGAAGAAGGCUGCUUCAACCUCUGGGAGCAAACAGACUGAAAGGCCGUCUCCCCAAAUUCUCCAGUCCACUUCAACAGGAAAAGCACACCAGGGUCCCUUCCCACUGCUUCUAGAUGGGUAAGUCACUUUGAAAAAGCAAGAGGCAGCCGUCAUACAGUGAAAUACUCCUGCAUUUCCUCUCCAAUUACAUAUCAAUGGAUGAGACAUGCAGGGUUAACCCACCACAUCUCAAGAGCCAGCCUGGGGCUCUUGAUAGGGAGAAUCCUCCCCAAAAGACAAAAAAUGACAGGUUUCAGAGUAAGAGCCGUGUUAGUCUGUAUUCGCAAAAAGAAAAGGAGUACUUGUGGCACCUUAGAGACUAACCAAUUUAUUUGAGUGUAAGCUUUCAUGAGCUACAGCUCACUGCAUCCGAUGAAGUGAGCUGUAACUCACGAAAGCUUAUGCUCAAAUAAAUUGGUUAGUCUCUAAGGUGCCACGAGUACUCCUUUUUAAGAAUCAAAAAGCAUCUUAUCUCACAUGAGUGCUAGCUCCACCCCCACAAAUAGGGAAGCCUCUUCUUCGGAACAUAAAAUUCAGAAACAGUGAGGUAAGCUGCUUAACCAGUCCAUUUUUGAAACCAUGAGGAGGAAGGAGGCAGCCACCGACAAAAGAAACUGAGCAAGCUCAAUCAUUUCCUCCAACCAAACUUUGAAGGACUUACAUAGAAGUGGUAAAUUGAUGAUAAAUGGAAAAGUAAUAGGGGAAUUCUGCACCAGUGCGCAGUGCAGAAUUUUGCAGAAAUGAAUGUUGUGCACACAGAAUUUCCUUUCUUCCACAGAAAUAGGCUGCAGUGCUGCUGGCCACAGGUCACAAAUAGAAGACAAGGCAAGGGAGAGGUUCCCAGCAUGCUCUGAAGGAGGCAGCGAAGCGUAGGAAACUCCAUGGAAGCCCAGAUCCCAACAUCAUGCAGUUUCUCCCUCUGGAUCCCUGGGCUCUGGAGGGCAGGGAGAGGAGUGUCUGGGCUCUGUUGGGGGAGGUGGUUUGGGUGUAUUGGCGGGGUGGGGGGUUGAGCAUAGUGGCUGGGCUCUGGGGAGAGGGGUUGUGGGUGUCUGGCCCCCCAGCUGCGCUGUGUGGGUGGGGCAGAGAAACGAACUGGGUUGUCAUAGGGGUUUCUUUAACUUUCUACUCCUGGGGGAAAUUUUGUAUUGUAUUGUCUGUAUUAUUACUGACAAAACAGGUAUUCUGAAAUAAAUUACCAAAAUAAUUGAAA